Molecule: long non-coding RNA, 659 nt
Organism: Pocillopora damicornis (cauliflower coral)
Lineage: Eukaryota; Metazoa; Cnidaria; Anthozoa; Scleractinia; Pocilloporidae
Source: RefSeq, a predicted model, not a curated record
UACAUGCUUUGUCAGGUUUUGAUGUACUACAGGAUAUUUUACUUGAUGCUAUGCGCCCACAGUUUCCGGCCUUAACAUCAUAAAGAGAGGAGUGCAGUACUGGCUUUCAAAUGGUGUUAUAGACAAAGACGAGCUCGAGGAAAGGCUGAAGCAGAUGCCGUGGUUCAAAGCAUAUGAAGCCAGCAGAAUCCCAAAUGAUGUAACAAGGAAGGAUUCUGGAAAAGCACAAUUAAUUUCCCUGACAAAAUUGCUUAGGAGUACCAAAGCUACCUUUUCCCGCACUACUGAGAGUUUGUAAUGGAAGGAAUUCUUACAGCAGAUGAAUAUGUGGUGUGGACACCAAUUCCUCACAUAGUUGAGCUCCUUUUUAAUUGCGGAAGAAAUGGUCGGACUAAUGAAGAAAUUGCACAUCUGAAAGCCCCCAGCUGGAGACAAUGUAUCCUCGCAGAGGAAAGAUGUGGUCCUUCAGAAUGCUUUAUUAUCCUUCACCGUCUCAUUCAUCUUCAUGAAGAUAUAUCAAGGUUUUCAUCUCCUGAUAAAUUUUGGUGUUUCCAGUCAGUUGAAAGGUAAAGUUGACAUGGCAUUAACUUUUGAAAUCAGUCUUGGUAUAUACAAUAAACCGACAACGGUAAAUGUAGAUUUAGGAACCUAAAAAUUUC